RNAcentral lists this long non-coding RNA (1009 nucleotides) under Malus domestica (apple). RNAcentral's name for it is "long non-coding RNA (MDOM_LNC010830)". The record is from RNAcentral. Lineage: Eukaryota; Viridiplantae; Streptophyta; Magnoliopsida; Rosales; Rosaceae.
AAUAGAUUAAAACCAAAGUCUAGAACUAAAUUAGACAAAGAGUGAGAGUGCGCAAGGCGGAAAGAACCCUUAUUACAAAUGCAUGUAGUGUCAAAGCAUAGACAAAAGUGCAGUAAAGGUGAGAAAAUUCUCACCUUGGGGAGGACGGAUAUUACACAAGUAACAGGAAAUAAACUUCCUACAUUAUUAGAAGUAGAUGUCAAAAUCCCCUAAUGAACCCUUGCUCACCAUAGAGUCCAGCUAUUAAGUCCUGGAGGAACGCAAAACAAAAAUAUGAGUGGGCAAAAUAAGUAUUUACCAAAACCUUUGCUUUUCGUAACCCAGUGACAUUUAGUUGUAAAACCCAUAGUUUCCAAAAUCAUAAUAUGUAUAAGUAUGCAAAACCAACGUGAAUGGUAUAAAAGUAGUUAUACUAAGGAUACAUGCAAAUCACAACUAUCUCAACAAAUGUAACCAAUAUGCUCAUAAAAAAAAAUGCAACACACGCAAGUCUAUGUAUAAAGUAGCUACAUGAACAGGUUAGGCAUAAUAAUCUACGUUUGAGCAUUACAUACAUGUGAAGCUAGCGCUAAGCGCAUCACCUACGAGUCCUAAAUGCAAAAACAACUAGUACAUGUUGGCAUCUAUAAUGAAUCCAAAAUGAGCAUAAUAGUGCGAUGUAAACAUAUACAUGAAGUUGGUCUUGGCCAGAACGAGUACUAUAGACAUCCGUGUAAGCAUGCAUGAUGAGCAAGUAAAAUAUGUAUGAUUAUGCCACCAUAAUUUCAUAAAUCUCAUCUCAACCUCAACAUGUAACAUUUCUAAGUAACGGUGUGGCAUGGUGUAAAACAUUCAUAAAGCCAUCAUCGAGACUAUAUAAAUAUAGUAGAUGUUUGAAAACAAAACCCACUCACUCAUAUGUUGUUGGAUUGUAGCCGCCUUACCUUGUCUAACCUUUGUAAUUCUCGGAGUAAGUCUCUCCUAUAUGGGAAACCACUAUACUAUUUAUUACACUAAUUUAAGGGUGCAA